Molecule: long non-coding RNA, 351 nt
Filed under: Carica papaya (papaya)
Lineage: Eukaryota; Viridiplantae; Streptophyta; Magnoliopsida; Brassicales; Caricaceae
Description: long non-coding RNA (CPAP_LNC012276)
Source: RNAcentral
CCUUUUCAGUGAACGGUUUACGUGCGGGUUCAGGUGCGAUGUUGUGGACUCAGAUGGAGCGAGUCGGGUGACGGAACUCAGUCUUGACCAGGCAGGUUACUGGGGUUCACUCGCUUCGCUCUCGUGGAAUCUUCCGUACUUGCAGAACCUUGACAUUUCGGGUAAUUUCUUUUACGGGUCGGUUCCUAGCUCGCUCGCGAACCUCACUCGGCUCAGUCGACUUGGUCUGUCGGGGAACUCGUUUUCCGGCGAGAUACCCACCUCGAUUGGUUCACUCUCGAGUCUCGAGGAACUCUACCUCGAUCACAAUAACCUGGACGGCUCAGUUCCCUCGAGUUUCAACGGGUUGAU